GUGGGGAAUCUUGCGCAAUGGGCGAAAGCCUGACGCAGCCAUGCCGCGUGGAUGAUGAAGGUCUUAGGAUUGUAAAAUCCUUUCACCGGUGAAGAUAAUGACUGUAGCCGGAGAAGAAGCCCCGGCUAACUUCGUGCCAGCAGCCGCGGUAAUACGAAGGGGGCUAGCGUUGCUCGGAAUUACUGGGCGUAAAGGGAGCGUAGGCGGACAUUUAAGUCAGGGGUGAAAUCCCGAGGCUCAACCUCGGAACUGCCUUUGAUACUGGGUGUCUUGAGUGUGAGAGAGGUGAGUGGAACUCCGAGUGUAGAGGUGAAAUUCGUAGAUAUUCGGAAGAACACCAGUGGCGAAGGCGACUCACUGGCUCAUUACUGACGCUGAGGCUCGAAAGCGUGGGGAGCAAACAGGAUUAGAAACCCCGGUAGUCC
This 425-nucleotide ribosomal RNA is filed under the name uncultured bacterium. RNAcentral describes it as "partial 16S ribosomal RNA". It matches the Rfam family "Bacterial small subunit ribosomal RNA", at positions 354 to 796 of the family's 1533-position model. The record is from RNAcentral.